This 357-nucleotide unclassified non-coding RNA is filed under the name uncultured fungus. Its description in RNAcentral is "sequence contains ITS2". The stretch from base 1 to 52 matches the Rfam family "5.8S ribosomal RNA", at positions 103 to 154 of the family's 154-position model. Lineage: Eukaryota; Fungi. The record is from RNAcentral.
AACGCAUCUUGCGCUCUUUGGUAUUCCGAGGAGCAUACCUGUUUGAGUGUCAUUAAAUUCCCUCAACCACAUUUCUUAUUUUGAAGUGAGGCUUGGAUGCUGGAGUGUUGCAGGCAAUUUUCAUGUUGUCUGCUCCUCUAAAAUGCAUUAGUGGAGAUAUAAUCCUUUUCACAAAAGGCUUUUGAUCUUCCAUAUGGUGUUAUAGAUAUCUUCUUACCACCGAUUUGUGAGAUUAGGCCUGAGGGGGGAUGUCUUGCUUUGCUCUACAACUGUCUUGUUUUAAAGACUGAACUUGACUUCCAAGUUCAUUAUUUGACAUUUGAUCUCAAAUCAGGUAGGACUACCCGCUGAACUUAA